Molecule: non-coding RNA, 2680 nt
Organism: Cajanus cajan (pigeon pea)
Lineage: Eukaryota; Viridiplantae; Streptophyta; Magnoliopsida; Fabales; Fabaceae
Source: RefSeq, a predicted model, not a curated record
CAGACUCAUUAUUCCCAUUGUAAGUUACUUCAUCUUCUCCUCUUCUCAUCAUCCAUAGCCACACCCGCUACAUUCGAUUCCUCCGAAAUUGUUCGUGAGUGAUUCUAUUGUUCUUGCGUCUCCUCUACCGUCGUUCGCGACGCUGCAAGAUUCUUGGGUCUCUCCCACCGUUAGCGCCCAGGUUGUUCCUCUCUAUGCUAGAAAGACUAUUGGUGGAUCACAUGAAGGCAUUGUUCCAUUUCUAUAGUUGUUGCAUAUUAGUGAGACUACUAUUAGGAAGGUGACCUAGAAGAUACAAGAAUUUCAAAAUCCAUUUGUCAUAUUGAAGAGAUGCGGGUGCAAGAAGCAGUGACAUUGCAACCAUUGUACAAGACUGCCUAAGGUUUUGUUCAUAUUAAUGGAAACUUACCAUUGCUGUGAGAUUACAAGUAAAUGAAAUUCAGGACCUCUUUUUUCCUUCUCAAUUUCAUUCAGUAUAUAUGGCCACACGAGCAUGAAAAGCUUUCACAAGUUGAGCUGUUGGUUGUUGAAGAAGCUGCUGCUAUUCCACUGCUGGUGCGAAUUAUGGCCAUAUAUGUUAUAUCGCAUUACAAGAAUUCUCCAAAUGAUCUGCAACUGAUGGACCGCUUGAUGAAUCGAAGAAUUAUCUUCAUGGUAUUUUGUGUCAUCCAGGUUUGCCUUGAGGGGUCAAUAUCUGAUCAGUCAGCUAUCCAAAGUUUGAGCAACGGUCAUAAACCUUUUGGAGAUCAAAUACCAUGGAAAUUCUGUGAGCAUUUUCGAGACACAGUUUUUCCCUCACUUUCAGGUGCUCGCAUUGUACACAUUGCUGCACACCUUAUUGCCACGAGGCUUGGAUAUGGUUCACAAGCAGUUGAACGUUUAACGGCGAGUGCAUGGCAUUUUUCUUACUUUGGUUUGAGAGAUGUUCAUUUUAGCUUUUGUUUUACACAAAUGGCUAUUUUGUUAAAAUAUUAAUUUUUUGAAACAUAAAUAUUGGUUAAAAUAUUACUUCUAUUUUUGUGGGCCUUUUGACUUUAUGAAUUUUUUCAUAAAUGGACUUUUUGGGCUGAGGGAUUUUUUGGUGGUCUCUAUGUAAUGGAUUCACACGUCUCAAACACUUAACUGUGUCUCUGCUUUUUAAAAGUUCCUAUCUGUUUUUGAGUUAUCUAUCAUCCGUUUCUUAUCUCUUCAAAGUUCCACUCAAGAACUAGAAUGCACAAUUAUAAGUAGAGCUUCUCCAAUGCAAGGGAAAUGCCUGUCUCCCAGACCCUUAUUGUGGUCAUUGUCUCCAUCCACUGCCAGGGUGCCAAAGGAAAGUCAACAACUGAAUGCUGCACCCUUUCUUGAUUGAAAUGGAAAAGCUAUUCAAUGUUUCUAAAAUUGAAUUUUUUCUCUCUCUCAAAAGUGAAGAAAAGCCUUUCUUGUUGAAAUUCUUGAACGUGUAUUUUUUUUUCUUUGUUCGGUUGUUUUUUAACCACAUUUAUAAAAUACAUUCUUUCUAGCCUCUGGUGUAUUUGGUAAAUCAUAUUAUCUUUUUAAUUAAAAUUAAACUUAAAUAGAAAUGGUAUGAGUUACACCACCAUUCUGUAUUAUAUUGUAUUUACAGAGAUCACAGUUUAUGGUGAACAUAAGUGGAGAAAGGAAAAAUGGUGAGAAGUAACAGGGAUGGGCUCAACUCUCAAGACCUCGGAUGUAAUGGAUGAUGGAGAAGAGGAUUUUGUGGUAGAGGGUGGUGACAGAGGACAGUACAAGCAUAUCAAAGAAAAGAAGAUGCUUCUUGAUACAAAGUGUUUCUUGAUACAUAUUUAAUUAGAUUGCUGGAUUUCUUGCAUUUCUUGCAACUCCUCGUUUACAAGAUAAUGCUAAGAUUGCGGGAUUUAUUGCAAGUUUGCAACUCCUCAGGCUCAAGAUAAUGCUAUGUGCAAGGUGAUAAAUUGAUGCAAUUGAUCUCAAGAGCAAGCACAAGCGAAAACUUAGAUAGCGAACUUGUUCAACCAAGUGUUAGAGAUCUGUUGAAGUCUUUGAAGAUAAUCAUGAUUCAUGAGUGUGAAGCUAAAAGUCAUUGCACCAUUGCAAACACGGAUGAUAUCUGAGGUAGUUUCAUUUCAAGCUUUUGAUUGCAAUAAAUUUUCUAUUUUUAUUUCCUUUAUAACUUUUAGAUUUUUGAUCUUUUCAUAUUAUUAUUAACUAAACAAUAAUUACUAAAAUUAUCUUUAUUCAAAUAAUUAUUUUAAUUUAAAUUUUAGAGGAUAUAUCAAAUCAAACUACAUCACUAAAUGAAAAUAUCUAUCUUCAAACAACAUAAAUGGAAAUUAUGUUUCUAAUUAUAAAGUGAGAUAAAUUCUCUGCCAAAAAAAAAAGUGAGAGACAAAGAGCAAGUUUAUGAUUUUUUAUAUUAUUGUGCUAUUCCUUUUUUCUUUCUUUCUCUGCAAUAAAGUAUAAUAUUUAGAUAGUGUAGAUGUGAUGAUAUUGAAUGAGCUAGUUAAUUGUUUGCUUAAUCUUGUUCAAUAAGAUAUAGAUUUAAAUUUUAAAUUUUGAACUUGAAUUAAAUUGACAUUUUUAACCAAUAAGAUCAUUGUAACCAUACUAAAUUAUUUUUUAAAUCGAAACUUAUAGAAAAGAUCAUGCCUUAGUUUCUGUUUUCAAAAUAAUUAAAAGCUGACAACAUAUGAAGUUCAUU